Molecule: long non-coding RNA, 1996 nt
Organism: Acanthochromis polyacanthus (spiny chromis)
Lineage: Eukaryota; Metazoa; Chordata; Actinopteri; Pomacentridae
Exons: 2
Source: RefSeq, a predicted model, not a curated record
GUGAGCUGGUGUGUUUGUGCCUUCCUCUGAUUGAGUGGGGAGUGUUUCACUGACCCACUGUCUUCUACCGUAAAAGAAGGACCCAGAUCUACGUUCGAUGCCGGACCGUUGUACCUAACUCGCUUCGAGACCCUCGCUCCGGUUCACACCAUUCAUCUACCCCGUUACCAUUCCUCCCUACCGCUCUCCCAGUUGUCAGAUAAGACUUUUUUUUCAUACUGUACCGUUGCUUUUUUUUUGCUAGACACAACGUAAUGCUGUGUAAGCAUCUGCUUUACGUCAGUAUUCCAGUAAUUUGCACUGUUGGCACAUCUGCUUUCACUUCGGUAUUCCAGUGUAUUUGUGCUGAGUGCUUCUGCUUUAUUUCAGUAUUCCAGUUAGGUGCCAGUUAGGUCCAGCCCAGCUCAUCCUUCAAGAAAAGAACCACCAGAGGUCCACAAAUACUUGUCUAUACCGUGGCAAACUGAGCCAUUACAUUACCCACUGUCCUACUAGAGAGAGAGCUGAACCUCUGUGGAGGCCCCCCCAACGACUGCAACUGCCUGUGACAGCCUUCGUUGGUUCUGCAGCAGAGGCAACUUCAUUGACAGUAACCUGGUGAGACAGCUUUAGAUCUCCACUGAACCACUGUCUUCCCCUAGGGAAGGGAAAGCCUUAAAUGGACUAAAUCUCGUCCAAGUCAGCAGCAGACUGUUUCUGCGACUCUUGUCCUGGCCGUUAACCACCGAGAAUCCCUAAACCUUCUUAUCACUGAGAACUCGUCCUUGGAUUUCCCUGGUUAAAGCUGCAGAAUCCCUAUAUCAGCUGGUCCCAUGGGAAGGGCUUUUCCUGGAGCCUCGAUUGCCCCGCCAAGUGUUUACGUCCUGCUCUGACGCCUGUGUCGCCUCCUGUUUCUAGGGCUCCAGAAGAAACUGACCUAUCUAAAGUGCCCCUGGGGUAUCAGGAUGUGGCCCAGGUAUUCAGUAAAGACCAUGCCCUCACAUUACCACCCAUCGAUUGUUCCACUGACCUGUUUCCUGGAGCCACGCUGCCCAGUAGCCGAUUCUAUAACCUCUCAAAACUGGAACACACCACCAUGCAAGCCUACAUUUAGGAUUCCCUAGCUGCUGGAAUCAUUCACCCAUCCUCCUCCCCUGUUGUUGGGGUCGGAUUUUUCUUUGUCGCGACCCUAUAUUGACUUCCGUAGUUUCAUCAGCACUACCAUCAAAAACAAGUAUCCACUACCACUCGUCAGUUCUGCAUUCACUGCCCUCCAUGGUGGCACCAUCUUCUCUAAACUGGACCUCCGCAACACAUAUCACCUCAUCCACAUCUGAGACGCAGAUGAAUACUGACCUACAUUCAGUACCCCACUUCCCAUCUGGAGUAUCCAGUCACAAACGCCCCAGCUGGUUUUCCACAACCUCGUCAAUGACGUCCUCCGUGACAUUAUCAACCACUUUGUUUUUGUGUGCUUGGAUGACAUUUUGAUGUUCUCCUGGAACCCAGAAGAACAACAUGUCCGCCUAGAACACCUCCUUAAAGACUGGCUUUUCGAUAAGGCAAGUUUCAUGCCACUACAGUUUUCUUCCUUGGCUACAUUAUCUGAAGAGGAGGUUAAGAUGGAUCCCAGAAGCUGACCGCUGUCCAGAGCUGACCUGUACCUGAAAGAACUGCAUCUAUUCCUGGGGUUUGCCAACUUUUACCGCUGUUUUAUCCGGGAUUACAGUAAGGUGGCGGGUUUCAUAGUGUACCAUAGUGUGUAGUUGUAAGUCCUACUCCUGGUUUGCUCUCUCCUGUGUGGAGUUAUGGUUGUUGCUAGACACAACGUAGUGGUGUGUAAGCUUCUGCUUUCAGUUCGGUAUCCAGUGUAUUGCGCUGUGUGGCUGGUAUUACUCGGUUCUAGUUAAUUCCUUACUUCUGACUUCUGUGAACAACCCAGUGACAUUUUCCAUACACUCCUGUACAAUUUGUCAGUUGUAUCACACAACUUAUUGUACUAAAUUGUGAGAUUAUA